Molecule: ribosomal RNA, 851 nt
Filed under: Pantoea agglomerans
Lineage: Bacteria; Pseudomonadati; Pseudomonadota; Gammaproteobacteria; Enterobacterales; Erwiniaceae
Description: bacterial SSU rRNA
Rfam family: Bacterial small subunit ribosomal RNA
Source: RNAcentral
UUUGUACGCUGGCGGCAGGCCUAACACAUGCAAGUCGAACGGUAGCACAGAGAGCUUGCUCUCGGGUGACGAGUGGCGGACGGGUGAGUAAUGUCUGGGAAACUGCCUGAUGGAGGGGGAUAACUACUGGAAACGGUAGCUAAUACCGCAUAAUGUCGCAAGACCAAAGAGGGGGACCUUCGGGCCUCUUGCCAUCAGAUGUGCCCAGAUGGGAUUAGCUAGUAGGUGGGGUAACGGCUCACCUAGGCGACGAUCCCUAGCUGGUCUGAGAGGAUGACCAGCCACACUGGAACUGAGACACGGUCCAGACUCCUACGGGAGGCAGCAGUGGGGAAUAUUGCACAAUGGGCGCAAGCCUGAUGCAGCCAUGCCGCGUGUAUGAAGAAGGCCUUCGGGUUGUAAAGUACUUUCAGCGGGGAGGAAGGUGUUGUGGUUAAUAACCGCAGCAAUUGACGUUACCCGCAGAAGAAGCACCGGCUAACUCCGUGCCAGCAGCCGCGGUAAUACGGAGGGUGCAAGCGUUAAUCGGAAUUACUGGGCGUAAAGCGCACGCAGGCGGUCUGUCAAGUCGGAUGUGAAAUCCCCGGGCUCAACCUGGGAACUGCAUUCGAAACUGGCAGGCUGGAGUCUUGUAGAGGGGGGUAGAAUUCCAGGUGUACCGGUGAAAUGCGUAAAGAUCUGGAGGAAUACCGGUGGCGAAAGCGGCCCCUGGACAAAGACUGACGCUCAGGUGCGAAAGCGUGGGGAGCAACAGAAUAAAUACCCUGGUUAGUCCACGCCGUAACGAUGUCAUUUGGAGGUUGUGCCUUGAGGCUGGCCUCCGGACUACGCGUUAAUCCACCGCCUGGGAU